This is a long non-coding RNA of Syzygium oleosum, 2001 nucleotides long. RefSeq lists it as uncharacterized. Lineage: Eukaryota; Viridiplantae; Streptophyta; Magnoliopsida; Myrtales; Myrtaceae. The transcript is spliced from 2 exons. The record is from RefSeq and is a predicted model, not a curated record.
CUGACUAAGUUAAAUUUACAAUGUUUUCCAUAUUCUAAGCAAAAAACAAAAAGACAUUCAUGAUAGAGUGACCAAAUUCGACCAGUGUAAUUGAAUUCGGGUCGAAAUUUUUUUGACAUGAUUAAUAAACGAGUCGUGUUCGAAUUGACCCAUUUAUAGACUUAUUUUUUAAUCGAAUAAUAGCAUUUUAUUUUCAAUCGAAUAUAUAGUCGGUACUUUUCCUAUGGCCGAAAAAAAAAAAGAAAAAAAGGAAAAUACCGAAAAAGCCCCGGCCCGAGCCUCGACUUCCAUUCGUCUUCUUCAUCGUUCACGCGGCGACUUCGGACCAAUCGGAACCGCUCCGAUCCGAUCCGAUCCCAUCCGAUCAUCCUCGAACCGAUCGCGGACUCCAAACGCCUUCCACGCCGGCGAUUCCGAUGCUGUACGUCGCCGCAAUCCUCUCUUUUGCUUCGCGCGUUGUUGCGGCCAUUCGAUGCUUCUUCUUCUGCCGAUUUUUCUCCCAAGUCCUGGCUCGGCGAUGGCCGUCGCUGCUUGUAUCCGAGAAAUCCGGAACCAUCUCGCUCCCGUCGCCGUGUUUCCUUGUUGCAGCAGCUUAGGUUCGAUCGAUGUCGGAAAGGCGCGUUUGGCCGGAGAAACCGACACGCGCGCGCGACGAAAGUUGCAUUUGCCCUACAUAGAUACUGUAAUUCCCAGCUGCUGUUCAGGAGUUGUGCUGUAGCUUUGCGAGUUAUCAUCGGCGGUUGUAGAAUCAAAGGUUGUCGGGCCUCUCUGGUCUGGACUUUGACUCAUGGUUGUAUUAAGAUGACAGUUGCUCUUUUUCAUGGUCAAGAGAAUGGUAGGAAGGGCCGACCUGUGUGGCAAGCUUAUCUGUCGGUGUUAUCACGGGCGUGUCGGGUUGGUGCCAUAGCUGCUUGACCCGGCAAGGACAAUGACAGUUUGGACUUGAAGGGGCUUCUCUUUUUUUUCUUCAAAGAACAAAAAUUUCUGCGACAUAUGGUUUUAGUUUGAGCUCCUUCUGCAAACUUGCAGUAGACGAGUUGCUUGUUCUGUCGGGGGCUCUGAUCAGAGAUGUUGGUUAAACAGGUGCAGUAGCUCAGUCUGUUUCUGCUCAAGGUGAUGUCUAGCAAUUUGCAGCUUGAACCUGAAAGUGAGUACCUGUGAAUGUCAUUUGCACUGUAGAUCGAGCCCUAUUUGGUAGGAUGCGUUCUUGUUCGAUGGUGUCAUGCCCAGUGGGACCGUUUAUAAGCGUUAAGUUUUUCUUUUUGGGUCUAGCAUCUUUAGCGCAAGCCUAAUGAUUUCCCACAUUUCGGAGAAAUUUCCUGCAUUUCAACGUGUUAUAAAGAUGUGCUCUAUGCUUUGUCUGGAAAUUGACUCGCGAAAGAUUCUUAUGACUUAUUUUUACAGGGAAUCUGCUUUUACUAACGAAACUGGAAACCGCUUCUUUUGCUGGAUGUGGCUUAGGACUUCCAGAGGAGGUGGGAAAGUAGGUUGACUGAACCUGAGUCAUGGGACAAUCCUCAUGUUUUAGUGCCAUGUUCUUCUCGGGAGAUAAUCAUUCCGACGACUCAGCAACACAGCGUAUUUUUAAUUGAAGUUGGCUUCUGGGGCAGGGGAUGAUGUCGGAGCACCGAAAGUGACGGCGGUUUUUCUUUUCCAACUUGCAUUUCAGGUGGUUCACCACGCCGAUCACUCAAAUCUCAUCAAGUCGCUAUCGAGAUUCGAGACAGAAGUCUGUCUUUCAAACUGCAGACUCGUGCAGCACAAGAAAAAAAGAUCCUUCAUCACACGGAGCUCAACCUUGCAAGUCAUUCUAACCGGGAAGUGUUGUUGCGAGAAAAAGUUUUUUAAGUUCCGUUUCGUGGUGAAAGAAGAAUGAUAGGUAGAGAUGGAGACACACUCGUUAAAAGACAGUCAGUGUGUCAAUGUCUCAAUAAUUCCCCAUCGCAGCAAAUCGCCCACACAGGGGGCGAUGAUGUUAACGCGCGUGAUUUAACCCCAUCC